RNAcentral lists this ribosomal RNA (499 nucleotides) under uncultured bacterium. Its description in RNAcentral is "partial 16S ribosomal RNA". It matches the Rfam family "Bacterial small subunit ribosomal RNA", at positions 28 to 506 of the family's 1533-position model. The record is from RNAcentral.
GACGAACGCUGGCGGCGUGCCUAAUACAUGCAAGUCGAGCGGACUGAUUAAGAGCUUGCUCUUAUGACGUUAGCGGCGGACGGGUGAGUAACACGUGGGCAACCUGCCCUGUAGAUCGGGAUAACACCGAGGAAUCGGUGCUAAUACCGGGUAAUAUCUGAGAUCACAUGAUCUUAGGUUAAAAGAUGGCUCCGGCUAUCACUACAGGAUGGGCCCGCGGCGCAUUAGCUAGUUGGUAAGGUAAUGGCUUACCAAGGCGACGAUGCGUAGCCGACCUGAGAGGGUGAUCGGCCCCCCUGGGACUGGGACACGCCCCAGACUCCUACGGGGGGCAGCAGUAGGGAAUCUUCCGCAAUGGCCGAAAGUCUGACGGAGCAACCCCGCGUGAGUGAGGAAGGUUUUCGGCUCGUAAAGCUCUGUUUUUAGGGAAGAAACAGUACCCAACGAACUAGGUCGGUCCCUUGACGGUACCUAACCAAAAAGCCCCGGCUAACUCCGU